UACGUAGGGUGCAAGCGUUAAUCGGAAUUACUGGGCGUAAAGCGUGCGCAGGCGGUUUUGUAAGCCUGAUGUGAAAUCCCCGGGCUCAACCUGGGAAUUGCAUUGGAGACUGCAAGGCUAGAAUGCGGCAGAGGGGGGUAGAAUUCCAUGUGUAGCAGUGAAAUGCGUAGAGAUGUGGAGGAACACCGAUGGCGAAGGCA
RNAcentral lists this ribosomal RNA (200 nucleotides) under uncultured bacterium. RNAcentral's name for it is "partial 16S ribosomal RNA". It matches the Rfam family "Bacterial small subunit ribosomal RNA", at positions 524 to 723 of the family's 1533-position model. The record is from RNAcentral.